UGCACGCACUCUCAUGGAAGCCCACCAAUGACAACUGCAAAUACAUGCAGCCCAAGUUGUGUCAGAAAAAAAUUUAUCAUACUAAACACCUAAAAUUUUUCGCGUGUUCUAACCACAAAAAUUUUUAUCACUUUGAUCAAAAAAUUUCAAAUCUUGGUAGUUUGGGUGAUGGGCUGAUGGCACUGUUGCCUGUUGGGAACAGACUGACAGAGGAGGUCUUCUUUUCUGAUGGCGAUCCUCAGGUUUUAUCCAAGGGAAAGUCCUGGUGGCCACUGUCGGCGUCUCGGAUUGCACAUCAACCAAGUUGACAUCAAGGGUAGCCAUGCUCUAGUUUACCGUUUUUGUCUCAGUGCUAUUAUCCACUCCCUUCGAUUUAAAAAGCAGACGUCGUCGCAGAACACAUGAUACCCAAAGACCAAGAGCCCAAGAGUUACUCCAGUAUGCAUAAAGGUAUCUAAUGUUGUCACAUAAAAAAACACUACUACAUUAGACGGGCAAAAAUGAUUAACCGGGACGGAGCGAGGGUCACCGUAAAUAGACUAUUUUCCAAGGUGGUUGUCUGACCGCCUUGGUUAAUUAAUUUUUUUUUAAAAAAAAAGAAUAAGAAGAAAAAAAUCUAUGGACAAGCCCGCUGAGCCCAUCUAGGGUUUCGCCUCCACCG
Molecule: long non-coding RNA, 661 nt
Filed under: Sorghum bicolor (sorghum)
Lineage: Eukaryota; Viridiplantae; Streptophyta; Magnoliopsida; Poales; Poaceae
Description: long non-coding RNA (SBIC_LNC000170)
Source: RNAcentral